RNAcentral lists this transfer RNA (73 nucleotides) under Stegodyphus mimosarum. It matches the Rfam family "tRNA". Rfam says of the family: Transfer RNA (tRNA) molecules are approximately 80 nucleotides in length. Their secondary structure includes four short double-helical elements and three loops (D, anti-codon, and T loops). Lineage: Eukaryota; Metazoa; Arthropoda; Arachnida; Araneae; Eresidae. The record is from Rfam by way of RNAcentral.
GCCUUCGUGGUGUAGUGGUCAGCACACUCGGCGCGUAUUCUAGAGGCUCGUGGUUCGAUUCCCGGCGAGGGCC